Molecule: ribosomal RNA, 201 nt
Filed under: uncultured bacterium
Lineage: Bacteria
Description: partial 16S ribosomal DNA
Rfam family: Bacterial small subunit ribosomal RNA
Source: RNAcentral
ACGGAGGAUGCAAGCGUUAUCCGGAAUUAUUGGGCGUAAAGCGUACGUAGGCUGUUAGAUAAGUCUGUUGUCAAAGCGCGAGGCUCAACCUUGUAAAGGCAAUGGAAACUGUUUGACUAGAGAGAGAUAGGGGCAGGAGGAAUUCCAGGUGUAGCGGUGAAAUGCGUAGAUAUCUGGAAGAACACCAGUGGCGAAAGCGUC